Polypterus senegalus (gray bichir) is the source of this 260-nucleotide long non-coding RNA. RefSeq lists it as uncharacterized. NCBI's taxonomy places the organism in Eukaryota, Metazoa, Chordata, Cladistia, Polypteriformes, Polypteridae. The transcript has 3 exons. The record is from RefSeq and is a predicted model, not a curated record.
AAAAGCCCAAGAGGCAGCAAAGGGGGCAUAUGGCAAGGGACAUUAGCAAAGGCCUAGUCAUAGGCAAAGAGCAAGGAGUAGGAACAUGCCUCAAUCUCCCCUAAAGAUGGACAUACAAUCAAAGACACCAACAGAAUUGUACGGAAGGCUAUCUGUUCUUUUGAUCUAAGAAUGGAGAGAAUGCAGGACAACAUCAUUGUCACCGCUUGCAUGCUACAUGUGUCUGAGUGGCAGCUCCCAUAUGAAUAAAUGUUUUAAGA